AUUGAACGCUGGCGGCAGGCUUAACACAUGCAAGUCGAGCGGGGUGAUGGUGCUUGCACUAUCACUUAGCGGCGGACGGGUGAGUAAUGCUUAGGAAUCUGCCUAUUAGUGGGGGACAACAUCUCGAAAGGGAUGCUAAUACCGCAUACGUCCUACGGGAGAAAGCAGGGGAUCACUUGUGACCUUGCGCUAAUAGAUGAGCCUAAGUCGGAUUAGGUAGGUGGUGGGGUAAAGGCCUACCAAGGCGAUGACGGGUAGCUGGACUGAGAGGUUGGUCAGCCACAAUAGCACUGAGAUACGGGCUAUACAUCUACGGAUGGCAGCAACCGGGAAUAUUGCGCAAUGGACGAAAGUCUGACGCAGCGACUCCGCGUGGGGGAUGAAGGUUUUCGGAUCGUAAACCCCUUUUGACAAUGAAGCCGAGGUCGCAAGACCAAGGGACGGUAAUUGUAGAAUAAGCAUCUGCUAACUAUGUGCCAGCCGCCGCCGUAA
RNAcentral lists this ribosomal RNA (492 nucleotides) under uncultured bacterium. Its description in RNAcentral is "partial 16S ribosomal RNA". It matches the Rfam family "Bacterial small subunit ribosomal RNA", at positions 30 to 523 of the family's 1533-position model. The record is from RNAcentral.